Molecule: small RNA, 83 nt
Filed under: Flavobacterium sp. 1
Lineage: Bacteria; Pseudomonadati; Bacteroidota; Flavobacteriia; Flavobacteriales; Flavobacteriaceae
Description: Flavo-1 RNA
Rfam family: Flavo-1 RNA
Source: RNAcentral
CCCUAGCCCUGAUGGAAACGGCAUCCUUUUGUGUCUCGUUUUUCUACGAGGCACAAAAGAUAUAGUGGACAGCAGGAAACAGC